Mycena belliarum is the source of this 94-nucleotide non-coding RNA. The record is from the annotation of a GenBank genome assembly. Lineage: Eukaryota; Fungi; Basidiomycota; Agaricomycetes; Agaricales; Mycenaceae.
GACCUUGUAGCUUAGUUGGUAAAGCGUCUUCGUGUUGUACAUCAUCUCCUUGACUUCGCGUGGAAUGCCGUGGGUUCGAGCCCCGCCGAGGUCU